Molecule: ribosomal RNA, 266 nt
Filed under: uncultured bacterium
Lineage: Bacteria
Description: partial 16S ribosomal RNA
Rfam family: Bacterial small subunit ribosomal RNA
Source: RNAcentral
CGGUAAACAGAGGGAAGCGAAACAGCGAUGUCAAGCAAAGCCCAAAAACAACGCCUCAGUUCGGAUUGCAGCCUGCAACUCGGCUGCAUGAAGCCGGAAUCGCUAGUAAUCGCGGAUCAGAAUGCCGCGGUGAAUACGUUCCCGGGUCUUGUACACACCGCCCGUCACACCAUGGGAGUCGGAAAUGCCCGAAGUCGGUGACCUAACGAAAGAAGGAGCCGCCGAAGGCAGGUCCGGUAACUGGGGUGAAGUCGUAACAAGGUAUC